UACGUAGGGUCCGAGCGUUGUCCGGAAUUAUUGGGCGUAAAGGGCUCGUAGGCGGUUUGUCGCGUCGGGAGUGAAAACUCAGGGCUUAACUCUGGGCUUGCUUUCGAUACGGGCAGACUUGAGGCAUGCAGGGGAGAACGGAAUUCCUGGUGUAGCGGUGAAAUGCGCAGAUAUCAGGAGGAACACCGGUGGCGAAGGCGGUUCUCUGGGCAUGUUCUGACGCUGAGGAGCGAAAGUGUGGGGAGCGAACAGG
This 253-nucleotide ribosomal RNA is filed under the name uncultured bacterium. Its description in RNAcentral is "partial 16S ribosomal RNA". It matches the Rfam family "Bacterial small subunit ribosomal RNA", at positions 524 to 776 of the family's 1533-position model. The record is from RNAcentral.